This 301-nucleotide ribosomal RNA is filed under the name uncultured bacterium. RNAcentral's name for it is "partial 16S ribosomal RNA". It matches the Rfam family "Bacterial small subunit ribosomal RNA", at positions 509 to 807 of the family's 1533-position model. The record is from RNAcentral.
CAGUAGCCGCGGUAAUACGAAGGGGGCUAGCGUUGCUCGGAAUGACUGGGCGUAAAGGGCGCGUAGGCGGCGGCCAAAGUCAGGCGUGAAAUUCCCGGGCUCAACCUGGGGGCUGCGUUUGAUACUUGGUUGCUUGAGUGGGGAAGAGGGUCGUGGAAUUCCCAGUGUAGAGGUGAAAUUCGUAGAUAUUGGGAAGAACACCGGUGGCGAAGGCGGCGACCUGGUCCUUUACUGACGCUGAGGCGCGAAAGCGUGGGGAGCAAACAGGAUUAGAGACCCCUGUAGUCCCUGUCUCUUAUAC